Molecule: ribosomal RNA, 1219 nt
Filed under: Escherichia coli
Lineage: Bacteria; Pseudomonadati; Pseudomonadota; Gammaproteobacteria; Enterobacterales; Enterobacteriaceae
Description: partial 23S ribosomal RNA
Rfam family: Bacterial large subunit ribosomal RNA
Source: RNAcentral
GGGUUGUGAGGUUAAGCGACUAAGCGUACACGGUGGAUGCCCUGGCAGUCAGAGGCGAUGAAGGACGUGCUAAUCUGCGAUAAGCGUCGGUAAGGUGAUAUGAACCGUUAUAACCGGCGAUUUCCGAAUGGGGAAACCCAGUGUGAUUCGUCACACUAUCAUUAACUGAAUCCAUAGGUUAAUGAGGCGAACCGGGGGAACUGAAACAUCUAAGUACCCCGAGGAAAAGAAAUCAACCGAGAUUCCCCCAGUAGCGGCGAGCGAACGGGGAGCAGCCCAGAGCCUGAAUCAGUGUGUGUGUUAGUGGAAGCGUCUGGAAAGGCGCGCGAUACAGGGUGACAGCCCCGUACACAAAAAUGCACAUGCUGUGAGCUCGAUGAGUAGGGCGGGACACGUGGUAUCCUGUCUGAAUAUGGGGGGACCAUCCUCCAAGGCUAAAUACUCCUGACUGACCGAUAGUGAACCAGUACCGUGAGGGAAAGGCGAAAAGAACCCCGGCGAGGGGAGUGAAAAAGAACCUGAAACCGUGUACGUACAAGCAGUGGGAGCACGCUUAGGCGUGUGACUGCGUACCUUUUGUAUAAUGGGUCAGCGACUUAUAUUCUGUAGCAAGGUUAACCGAAUAGGGGAGCCGAAGGGAAACCGAGUCUUAACUGGGCGUUAAGUUGCAGGGUAUAGACCCGAAACCCGGUGAUCUAGCCAUGGGCAGGUUGAAGGUUGGGUAACACUAACUGGAGGACCGAACCGACUAAUGUUGAAAAAUUAGCGGAUGACUUGUGGCUGGGGGUGAAAGGCCAAUCAAACCGGGAGAUAGCUGGUUCUCCCCGAAAGCUAUUUAGGUAGCGCCUCGUGAAUUCAUCUCCGGGGGUAGAGCACUGUUUCGGCAAGGGGGUCAUCCCGACUUACCAACCCGAUGCAAACUACGAAUACCGGAGAAUGUUAUCACGGGAGACACACGGCGGGUGCUAACGUCCGUCGUGAAGAGGGAAACAACCCAGACCGCCAGCUAAGGUCCCAAAGUCAUGGUUAAGUGGGAAACGAUGUGGGAAGGCCCAGACAGCCAGGAUGUUGGCUUAGAAGCAGCCAUCAUUUAAAGAAAGCGUAAUAGCUCACUGGUCGAGUCGGCCUGCGCGGAAGAUGUAACGGGGCUAAACCAUGCACCGAAGCUGCGGCAGCGACGCUGAUGCGUUGUUGGGUAGGGGAGCGUUCUGUAAGCCUG